This 857-nucleotide ribosomal RNA is filed under the name uncultured bacterium. Its description in RNAcentral is "SSU rRNA". It matches the Rfam family "Bacterial small subunit ribosomal RNA", at positions 524 to 1381 of the family's 1533-position model. The record is from RNAcentral.
UACGGGAGUGGCAAGCGUUAUCCGGAAUUAUUGGGCGUAAAGCGUCCGCAGGCGGUUUUGAAAGUCUGUUGUUAAAGCGUGGAGCUUAACUCCAUUUCAGCAAUGGAAACUACAAGACUAGAGUGUGGUAGGGGCAGAGGGAAUUCCCGGUGUAGCGGUGAAAUGCGUAGAUAUCGGGAAGAACACCAGUGGCGAAGGCGCUCUGCUGGGCCAUAACUGACGCUCAUGGACGAAAGCCAGGGGAGCGAAAGGGAUUAGAUACCCCUGUAGUCCUGGCCGUAAACGAUGAACACUAGGUGUCGGGGGAAUCGACCCCCUCGGUGUCGUAGCCAACGCGUUAAGUGUUCCGCCUGGGGAGUACGCACGCAAGUGUGAAACUCAAAGGAAUUGACGGGGGCCCGCACAAGCGGUGGAGUAUGUGGUUUAAUUCGAUGCAACGCGAAGAACCUUACCAGGGUUUGACAUCCUGCGAAUCCCUUGGAAACUAGGGAGUGCCUUCGGGAACGCAGUGACAGGUGGUGCAUGGCUGUCGUCAGCUCGUGUCGUGAGAUGUUGGGUUAAGUCCCGCAACGAGCGCAACCCACGUCUUUAGUUGCCAGCAUUUAGUUGGGCACUCUAGAGAGACCGCCGGUGAUAAACCGGAGGAAGGUGUGGAUGACGUCAAGUCAUCAUGCCCCUUACAUCCUGGGCUACACACGUACUACAAUGCUACGGACAAAGGGCAGCAAACUCGCGAGAGCUAGCAAAUCCCAUAAACCGUGGCUCAGUUCAGAUCGUAGGCUGCAACUCGCCUACGUGAAGGAGGAAUCGCUAGUAAUCGUGGAUCAGCGUGCCACGGUGAAUACGUUCCCGGGUCU